RNAcentral lists this ribosomal RNA (501 nucleotides) under uncultured bacterium. RNAcentral's name for it is "partial 16S ribosomal RNA". It matches the Rfam family "Bacterial small subunit ribosomal RNA", at positions 30 to 523 of the family's 1533-position model. The record is from RNAcentral.
AUUGAACGCUGGCGGCAUGCCUUACACAUGCAAGUCGAACGGCAGCACGGGUGCUUGCACCUGGUGGCGAGUGGCGAACGGGUGAGUAAUACAUCGGAACGUACCUUAUCGUGGGGGAUAGCGCAGCGAAAGCUGUGCUAAUACCGCAUACGCCCUGAGGGGGAAAGCGGGGGAUCGCAAGACCUCGCGCGAUUAGAGCGGCCGAUGCCUGAUUAGCUUGUUGGUGGGGUAAAAGCCCACCAAGGCGACGAUUAGUAGCUGGUCUGAGAGGACGAUCAGCCACACUGGGACUGAGACACGGCCCAGACUCCUACGGGAGGCAGCAGUGGGGAAUUUUGGACAAUGGGGGCAACCCUAAUCCAGCAAUGCCGCGUGAGUGAAGAAGGCCUUCGGGUUGUAAAGCUCUUUUGUCAGGGAAGAAACACCGGCUCUAACACAGUCUGGGAAUGACGGUACCUGAAGAAUAAGCACCGGCUAACCCUGUGCCAGCAGCCGCCGCCG